GCAAACUUUCAGAAAGCAGUGGAUACUGUAUUUAUUUUCACAAAUACUGUCUACAAUCCAAAGCACUGAGGCAAAAAAAAAGACAAAAUAUGGUCUGCCUGACAAAUGACUAAAAUGAUAUAACUACAGUUAACAAAUUUGGAAACACAAAGGUCCUGCA
Phyllostomus discolor (pale spear-nosed bat) is the source of this 160-nucleotide long non-coding RNA. RefSeq lists it as uncharacterized. Lineage: Eukaryota; Metazoa; Chordata; Mammalia; Chiroptera; Phyllostomidae. The transcript has 3 exons. The record is from RefSeq and is a predicted model, not a curated record.